Molecule: RNA transcript, 5973 nt
Organism: Bombus pascuorum
Lineage: Eukaryota; Metazoa; Arthropoda; Insecta; Hymenoptera; Apidae
Exons: 5
Source: RefSeq, a predicted model, not a curated record
AAACGCAAUCGCAAUGCAGGCCAAUCCCUCUGCCCCGUUCGUCCACCCGCUCGCUCGCCCUCCCGUUCCCGGUAAUGACAAUCAUUACGGGGAAUGAUUGCAGCGUCGGGUCCGCCAGCGCGCCAGCCGCUAUUGGGGGAUGGAAACCACCUUAUAGAGUCUCUCCUCGGUCCUCGAUGCGAGCGGUUUGUCACAUGCUCCCGACGCGGCGGAGUGUUUCCUUUUCGUCGCGAUUCCUUACGAAUUCGUUACCACGGUGAAAAAAUACCAUCCUUUUCGCUGAACGAUCGUGUAAGAUGGACAGACGUUGAGGACGCGAUCGUUCGAAUGUCCGACGAUUUCGAGCCUCAAACACGUGGAUUUCUAGAAGACUUCUAUCGUGGAGAAAGCUUUACCGAGAUUGGAUUGGAAUUUUUGUGGCUUUUCAAGGUGCUAAUUUGAGAAAUGGAAUUGGAGUAAUGGACUGCGAUGCUAGAUCGAGAAAGUGACGAAUGAAAGACGCGGACGAUGCGACGGUCGCGUGAUGGAAACGUCUCAGUGAGAUAUGAGUGCGUCAUCGAAUACUCAGGGUCAGGAUGAUGUAAUUGCUGGAAGAUUUUUUGUAUGGCUCAGCGAAUGAUGGAAAAGUCUUGUUUGUGAUAAACAUAGUAAAAUGUAUGCAAAAAGUCUAUACAUGAGAAUCAUCGAGAUGACGGAAGAACAUGGCGGUCAUUCGACCACGUGACUGUUUGUGCGACCAUUUUCAAGCAGCAUCAGUCACUGGAGAUUCGCCAAGUUUGCUGAAACUUCUCUGUACAACGGAGCCACGAGGUUAAUCGCUAAUUGUCGUUUGAAAACCGAUCGAUUUCUGAUGCUCGAUGAAUUCCUUCGUCCGGAUGCAGGUGGAAAGAAAUCUCGAGCAGACAUAACGGUGCAGCACAGGGACAGAGGAAAAAAGAGAACGAGAACCUUGAACCAAUCGUAAAUGGCGUGGAGUGAAAGCGGUCGGUCUCCGCGGUUUUCCCAGAAGAGCGCGAGCCACGAAAUUAUCGACCUGUAAAUCGGAACGAAGGAUCUCGUUUCUUACUUACCAACGUGGGUAUGAGCUCGCUCUCUUCUGUGCCAGAAGAAAAAGGAAAUAUAAAAGAGAGGACGAAGAUUGAACGUACACGUUGGUCCCGAGACGAAAAUCGUGAAUCCGGUGCGUGCUACGAACGACGAUUCAGACGUUACAAUUUGUUCCUCGCCGCGAACAGCUUUCUGCCACGUCAAUCCUCGCACGUCGAAACGUGGCUCGAUGUUCCCUACGAUUGAUUUACAUCAUCCAUUUGACGGAUUACGAAUAACGAUGUUUAGAUGUUUCAGAAAAUGACUGGCGAGCCGGGUUUGAAGAUUUCUAUCGAGAACAUUAUUGCACAACGCAACCGAGUGAUUGAUGGAGAGCGUGCACUAUUUUCUGACAUGGUUUCGAUGAAAAAAAGUGUCAUUUAUUUCCUCCAGUGAUAACUCUGGGAAUCCUUCCACUUGGAUUAAUGACUAACCAUUAUCGUGCAGACUGUGUAUCAUUUCUUACACUUUAAUUGCGAGUAACUGGAAAAUAAAGCGGUAGCUUCGCCCACGAAAAACCAGAGAGAAAGAGAGAGAUUUAUUCUAUGCCAUUAUAGUAAUCAAAAAAACGAGAAAAGGAGCUGCAAUAGACGAGAAAGCGUCGUGGGGUCACACCUUACCCGAUCGAAAAGGAAGAUGAGAUUGAACGGUGACACUCGACGGACAAUACCCCGUGACUCGAUUACACACGAGUACCGUUAAUCAUCCUAAUAGCGUGCGCAUAAUGUCAGAUACGAUCUGCGUUCGCUUGCUACGGUAGAUUCGUGAUGCCACGCUCCUCCAACGAUCGUUCGGCCCACGUGCAACUUGGCGUCGCACAGGAUGAGUCGAAUAGAAAAUGAAAUCAUACUCCGCCGCUUACAAGCACGGCUUUAAGAUCGUGAAUGGGCGUACGGAGACAAUCGGAGACGCUAGGCGCCUGAAUUCCGAUUGGACGUUGCCUUCUAAUUGAGUCAUCGUGUCAUUAGCGUUAUAAUAAUCACGGCUCGUAACGAAACGAUCUCUCUUUGUCGACUGUACGCUGGCCUGGAACGCCACCGCCGGGAAAACACAGAGAUCCACCCGAAGAUCGUACGUAGAUCGAUGGCCAAUUAAGCUCAAUUACCGACACGGAUAAUCGACCACCGUCGGUGAAAGAAUGAUUAUUCCGCGAAUGAUCGGUUAGAAUAUCGACCUUGGCUGAUUUUGCAAGAUCGAUUGCAACGAUAAAAUAGACAGAGGGAGGAAUUCUUGACCAAGUAGGAAGAAUGAUUGGACGGAGAAAGGAGUUUACGAGGGAGGAAAGAGAAUUUCUUAAAUUGAAUUUGCGAUUACAUUUGAAGAUAUAUUGAAAUAAUUUUGCUAGAUUUUAUAGCUACAUCGUACUUGUCUAAUGCAUUGCACAAGAUAGGAAUUAUUCUUCAACGAAUAUGAAAAAUGAUUGAAGAAAGAAGAUCGAAAGGAAGGAUAGUUUCCUGAAUUGAAUAUUCUUGAACGAAUAUGAAAACCGAUUGGACGAAGAAAGAAGUUCGAAAGAAAGGAUGAAUGGCGUCGUUCCGGCAGGCCGAAGAUAAAUCGAGAUACUUCAAGAACACCCCGUACCUACACAGAUGUUUAAGAGCUAAGCAACUACUCAGAGCGAGUGAGUUGAUGCGAGCCGCGUAUCACGAGAAGGAAGUUCAAUUUAACCCAAUAAAGGACAAUCAGAGGCCGACGGCGACCAGAGACGAAUACCUACUACUCCUCUGAUGGCUAAACGGAUCGACCGAGGGACUUCGCCUUCAGGUCUUUUCGGCUCGGAAGAUGGAAAACUCGUCGACGUGUUCAGACAUCGUACCUACCAACGUCUUAUCGCAGACAUCCUUUCUGUUAGGCUUAGGGAGUUGGCGAAAAUGGAAAAGGCCAAUUCAGUUCAUUCUUCGGGUUCGCCGCUCCGCGAACGACAAGGAGCAUCUAGUUCACGAUCCAAUGGACCGUGAAGUCUGUGACAUGGACCAAGUGGAAUUUUCGGUCAGUGUGUUUCUUACAAAAGGCCGCAAAAAGCCCGCAAAAAGGCUGCAACGAUCCGCUGUGAGAAAGGAAAGGGAAUAGAAUGGCUCAACGACGGGACUUGAAGCAUUCAAUGAUGCUGAUUCGUGAUCGCUGAUCGGAAACAUCGAUUUUGACAGGGUAGGAAAGUGGUAAACAAAGCGACAGAUGAUUUACAAUUUCGUACAGUUCCUUACAGUUUUAUUAAUAUUAAUAACAAUUGAAGGUAAACUGCACUUUCUUUAUUUGCAGAGUUCGUUAUAUUUUAAGUUACAAAUAGUACAUAGGCUUCUUAACACAUUCACUGCUACUAGUGCGUGUGGUGUACCGAUUCGAUUGUUUAAAUACAGGCAAAUUAUCGCCUAAAAUAAAGAAAUUUCUGGUAGAGCGAAGAAUGUAAUUGUAGGGACAGGUGAUCGUGUUUCAGUAACAGAAAGUGUGUUAGAGGGGUAACAUUUAUUAUAUAUUCUUUACUUAUACCAUUAGAAACAGAAGAGACUCUUAUUUAUAUACAUAGAAGCUUUCAUAUUUUACCUUUUAGAGGGACUUAACCUUCUAAUUAUAUUUUAUAUUUUACAUUUGUAUUUUAAUAUUUCACAAUUCUCUACCAUUAUUCAAAUUUCAUUCUUAUUUUCAACCCUUAACUAUACAUCUCCGUAUCUUUACGCGGAGCCUUUUAAAUUAUCAAACAUUUUAUUUACUAAAUCAUAUGCAAUAAAAGUUAAUCCAAUAUAUCUAUCAGAUAGUUUCAAGUUUCUUACAACUGCUCGAACUUCUUCGUCUCUAGUUAACGCUUUCACAUUCCCGAACUGGCAUAGUCCAGUCAUUAAAAUCUCGCGACAAUAUUGCCUAACCCCCCGAAACAUGGGUUGGCACUCGCAGCGAGACACAAAUUAAUUAUCAUGCAUUGAUAACGACGUGUUACAAGAGCAGACAAUCAGGGACCAACGGUGUCUCCAAAAUCUCACGGGGUUCAUUCACGGUGUCGUGGAAAGAGCGAGGGCUAUCUAUGAAAUUAGCGGGGGUUCGGCUUUAACCCUCCCCAUGGAUGGAUAAGGGGGGUUGAGCAUUAGCGAUUAUACGCACCGCGGAGUCCAUACAUCGGGUGUCUCCGUGUGGAACUAAACAGACAAAAUGGCCACACUACGGCUCACCCUCGAUUCCGUUUUCCUUUUACGAGCCACAGUGGCCGUCUCUUUUCAUCCUUCCUCCCUUCCUAGGAGUUUCUCCUUUUUACCUACAAGGCAUUACCACGACAAGGAAGAGGCGAGUCACGAGAUUUUCGAAAGUGCUCUCUCGCCUCUUUUCCUAUCUCUGUAUGCAGUCGCGUCUGUGGAAAGCGUACUGCACGCUCCAUCAACGUGUGGUAUUUCUCCUCUGUUGCAUUUUACAUCUCGAUAUCGUCGUAAGAUCUAUCGAAAGGCGCAUUAUUUGCAUUUUACUGAUGUGAAUGGAAUAGUAGCGGGAGAUGGAUGAUUAAAUUACCCGGAGAGGGGUUACUUUUUUCCUGAGAUUAUCUCGACCGAUUAUCUACUGCAAUAAUGUUCAAUAACGUGAUAUUACUCGGGCAAAGUCGAGAGCUGUGUGCAAUGUUUUUAUCAGUUUUAUGCGAUUCAAAGAUUGCCAAGUGUCGAAGGAAAUCCGGUAAUGAAAUUAGAAAAGAAAAGCUUCUUACGUUGGUUCUUCUAAUCUGGUUGUUGAAACGAUUUAUAAAGUUUACAGUAGCAUACAAGACAUGAAAUAGUAUAGUGUCUCUUCUAGUGGAUUUCCUAGUUGGCUACUUUCCAAGUAUUAAAGAUUAUAAGGUAAAACGUAUUCGAUAAGAACAUUAGAAAAUGGAACUUUACCACAAUUUUAUUGAUUCAUUUGAUUGAUCGCAAAAUAGAUGCUAGUAAUCGUUUCCUUAUCUUUCUUUUAUUCUUACAUUUAUUUUUACAAAAUCAGCUUUUAAGCGAAAGGCGUGCCCAUAAUCACGAAGCAGAUACAUGAAAAUAUUCUAAAACGUGUACACAUUUACAGUCCAUAAAAUACUAGGUACGUAAAUUAAUUUUUACACCUGAAACGAAGCUGAUUUAAUCCAUGGAAACAUCAGAUUUCAAAUCAAUUCUUACGAAGUUGCACGCAAAUGAUAAAUAUUUGAAAUUAAAACACAAAUGUUUAAACGCGAGCUCUUUUGUUGGUAGCUCUCUUCCAUCGCGUCUUCGCUUCGUUGCUCUUGCAAAAUCACAUUUCAAAGGAGCGACGGCUCCAUCAAAAUAGGGACAUAUGUUGAUCGACGGUCCAGAAGAAUGUCCCGAAUGGGCCCUUGUCACGGUGUGUUGCGGUAUGCAUCGACAAACGAAAGUAGCUUCCCGCGGCGGCUAAGAUCGGUGUCAUCCCCUUAAGUGGGGACAAUGGGGCUAAAUCCGAUUUUCGAAAUGAUCGCGUUAAACGUGCCCAGGGAUUUACGGAGGGCGGAUGCUCUUCUCAAUAGCCGAUGUUUACCGGUCCCAAUGGAAAGGGAUUACACCGUGCAUAUCCACUGCACGGGAAAGAGUGUGCUCCGACGAACUCCCGCGGCGCCAAAGAGGGGAUGCUCGAAAGUCCGCGCUGCAGGGUGCAUGAGGCGUGAUCUUGUGCAGUUCUUGGGAUACCUUCUCCAUCGAGCUGCAAUUUUAACAUACAUAAUAAAAUUAGAGCAACCACUGAUUAUCUCACAUGUCGUGGUGCAGGUUUUGAGAAUUCUGUCAUCGUUGCGGUAUAUAUUGAACGAUAUAUAGCGAUUUUUAUUUAAACUUUGGGCUCAAUUUUUGAAUGAAACUUACAGAAAUAGAGUGGAGAAUGUUUACUUUUGUUAAUGUGGAUGGAAUUUAUAAUUGUCAAAUAAAAUACAAAUAUUUA